CGGGAUAUGGCGCAGUCCGGUAGCGUACUUGUCUGGGGGGCAAGGGGUCGUGGGUUCAAAUCCCGCUAUCCCGACAA
Molecule: transfer RNA, 77 nt
Filed under: Runella slithyformis
Lineage: Bacteria; Pseudomonadati; Bacteroidota; Cytophagia; Cytophagales; Spirosomataceae
Also listed under: 4 other names
Description: tRNA-Pro
Rfam family: tRNA
About the family: Transfer RNA (tRNA) molecules are approximately 80 nucleotides in length. Their secondary structure includes four short double-helical elements and three loops (D, anti-codon, and T loops).
Source: RNAcentral